UAAACGGCGGCCGUAACUAUAACGGUCCUAAGGUAGCGAAAUUCCUUGUCGGGUAAGUUCCGACCUGCACGAAUGGCGUAACGAUCUGGGCACUGUCUCCUCCGCGAGCUCGGCGAAAUUGGAGUCUCGGUGAGGAUACCGAGUACCCGCGACAGGACAAAAAGACCCCGUGCACCUUUACUACAACCUGCCAUUGGGUCUUGGCUUUGCAUGUGUAGGAUAGGUGGGAGACUGAGAACCGUCGUCGCCAGGCGGCGGGGAGUCGUCGGUGAAAUACCACCCUUACAGAGUUGAGGCUCUAACCCAGGGGAGUGAAUCCUCCUCGGGGACCGUGGCAGGCGGGUAGUUUGACUGGGGCGGUCGCCUCCCAAAGCGUAACGGAGGCGCGCAAAGGUUCCCUCAGCGCGGUCGGCAAUCGCGCGUAGAGUGUAAAGGCAGAAGGGAGCUUGACUGCGAGAUCGACGGAUCGAGCAGGUACGAAAGUAGGCCUUAGUGAUCCGGUGGUUCCGAAUGGAAGGGCCAUCGCUCAACGGAUAAAAGGUACGCCGGGGAUAACAGGCUUAUCGCCCCCGAGAGUUCACAUCGACGGGGCGGUUUGGCACCUCGAUGUCGGCUUAUCGCAUCCUGGGGCUGGAGAAGGUCCCAAGGGUCGGGCUGUUCGCCCGUUAAAGCGGUACAUGAGCUGGGUUUAGAACGUCGUGAGACAGUUCGGUCUGUAUCCGUCGUGGGCGUCGGAGUGUUGAGGAGAGCCGUCCCUAGUACGAGAGGACCGGGAUGGACCGACCCCUCGUGUACCGGUUGUUCCGCCAGGGGCAUUGCCGGGUAGCGACGUCGGGAAGGGAUAACCGCUGAAAGCAUCUAAGUGGGAAGCCCACUCCAAGAUGAGCACUCCCAGCGCGUAAGCGCUCAGAAGGGCCGUGAGAGACGAUCACGUUGAUAGGCGGUAGGUGGAAGCGUGGCGACACGUGAAGCCGAGCCGUACUAAUCGCCCGAGAGGCUUGGCCA
Molecule: ribosomal RNA, 1005 nt
Filed under: Planctomycetota bacterium
Lineage: Bacteria; Pseudomonadati; Planctomycetota
Description: bacterial LSU rRNA
Rfam family: Bacterial large subunit ribosomal RNA
Source: RNAcentral